GAGGUGGGAGGACUGCUUGAGCCCAGGAGGUUGAGGCUGCAGUGAGCUAUGAUUGCACCACUGCACUCCAGCCUGAGUGACAGAGAAAGACCCUGUCUC
Macaca nemestrina (pig-tailed macaque) is the source of this 99-nucleotide microRNA precursor. Lineage: Eukaryota; Metazoa; Chordata; Mammalia; Primates; Cercopithecidae. The record is from Ensembl.